Molecule: transfer RNA, 78 nt
Filed under: Marmota monax (woodchuck)
Lineage: Eukaryota; Metazoa; Chordata; Mammalia; Rodentia; Sciuridae
Description: tRNA.Val
Rfam family: tRNA (bases 4-73)
About the family: Transfer RNA (tRNA) molecules are approximately 80 nucleotides in length. Their secondary structure includes four short double-helical elements and three loops (D, anti-codon, and T loops).
Source: RNAcentral
GCUGGGGAUAUAGCUCAGUUAGUAGAGUGCAUGCCUCACAUGCAUAAAGCCUGGGGUUCAAUCCCCAGCACCACAGUA